CAGCAGCCGCGGGAACACGUAGGUGGCAAGCGUUGUCCGGAAUUAUUGGGCGUAAAGGGCUCGCAGGCGGUUUCUUAAGUCUGAUGUGAAAGCCCCCGGCUCAACCGGGGAGGGUCAUUGGAAACUGGGAAACUUGAGUGCAGAAGAGGAGAGUGGAAUUCCACGUGUAGCGGUGAAAUGCGUAGAGAUGUGGAGGAACACCAGUGGCGAAGGCGACUCUCUGGUCUGUAACUGACGCUGAGGAGCGAAAGCGUGGGGAGCGAACAGGAUUAGAUACCCCAGUAGUCCCUGUCUCUUAUAC
RNAcentral lists this ribosomal RNA (301 nucleotides) under uncultured bacterium. RNAcentral describes it as "partial 16S ribosomal RNA". It matches the Rfam family "Bacterial small subunit ribosomal RNA", at positions 509 to 807 of the family's 1533-position model. The record is from RNAcentral.